UACAGAGGUCUCAAGCGUUAUUCGGAAUUAUUGGGCGUAAAGGGCGCGUAGGCGGCUUUUCAAGUGACGGGUGAAAUCCCUCGGCUUAACCGAGGAACUGCCUGUCAGACUGGAAGGCUUGAGACCGGGAGAGGUGAGUGGAAUUCCCAGUGUAGCGGUGAAAUGCGUAGAUAUUGGGAGGAACACCAGUGGCGAAGGCGGCUCACUGGACCGGAACUGACGCUGAGGCGCGAAAGCGUGGGGAGCAAACAGG
RNAcentral lists this ribosomal RNA (253 nucleotides) under uncultured bacterium. RNAcentral's name for it is "partial 16S ribosomal RNA". It matches the Rfam family "Bacterial small subunit ribosomal RNA", at positions 524 to 776 of the family's 1533-position model. The record is from RNAcentral.